UAUUUUUACAUUUUACAGUUUGCCGGUUCCACCACAGCGAGCCUUAACUUUAUUUCUUUCUCUUUUUCAGCAAGGAUGGAAGGAACGACUCGGCAGCUGAAACAUAAAGUGGAGGAAAUGGGCGUUUCUGACGUUGAAAGAUUUUGGUUGAAGAAUCAGCCCAUGACUGUUAUUUCUCAUUGAAUGCGAGAACUUGGAGUAACUUCGCAGGAUCUCCUGCUGUAUGUCACGGAGUUCCUACGUGUUGCCUGCUACGGGAACAGCGAUGAACCUCCGCAGGGACAUGUGAUCGAAAUAACAAGAGACAAGAGUGGUUUUACCUACUGACAAUUAAUACUGAGUGGAAUGGCAGUUUUGCAGCUUCUUUUAUGUCUAGUGCCACCUAUUAAUAAAGAGACAUCAUGCUUGUUUCAGUGAACGGAUUGCUUGCCUCUUAGUAAGGUUCAUACUUCAAAUUAGCCCACGUCUCCGCCAUUUUGAUUGUACUCUCCAUUAUUAAAAUGAAUAAAGUAACAUAUUGACCUGU
Long non-coding RNA from Conger conger (European conger), 526 nucleotides. RefSeq lists it as uncharacterized. The record is from RefSeq and is a predicted model, not a curated record. Lineage: Eukaryota; Metazoa; Chordata; Actinopteri; Anguilliformes; Congridae. The transcript is spliced from 3 exons.